UGUGUGUGUGUGUGUGUAUACGACAAUAUUUUUCAAUUAAAAUUUGAACUAGUCUUUGCAUUUUUGCUGUUGGGAAUAGUUUAUAGAUCAAAGUUGAGAUAUUAAACCUGAUAUGGUUGACCAAAUGGAUGAUCUUUGGUAUUUUGUUAGUGAUAGUAACAUUGUUACAUAUCAUUAAGGAUAAAUUAUUGAUUAGAAUUGUUCUAUUAUAUGAAUUUUGGACCGUCCAAUCAACAUCGCUAUAUCA
RNAcentral lists this long non-coding RNA (247 nucleotides) under Elaeis guineensis (African oil palm). RNAcentral's name for it is "long non-coding RNA (EGUI_LNC038003)". The record is from RNAcentral. Lineage: Eukaryota; Viridiplantae; Streptophyta; Magnoliopsida; Arecales; Arecaceae.